Molecule: ribosomal RNA, 464 nt
Filed under: uncultured bacterium
Lineage: Bacteria
Description: partial 16S ribosomal RNA
Rfam family: Bacterial small subunit ribosomal RNA
Source: RNAcentral
GACGAACGCUGGCGGCGUGCUUAACACAUGCAAGUCGAACGGUAAGGCCCCUUCGGGGGUACACGAGUGGCGAACGGGUGAGUAACACGGGGGUGAUCUGCCCUGCACUUCGGGAUAAGCCUGGGAAACUGGGUCUAAUACCGGAUAGGACCACGCUCUGCAUGGAGGGUGGUGGAAAGCUUUUGCGGUUUGGGAUGGGCCCGCGGGCUAUCAGCUUGUUGGUGGGGUGAUGGCCUACCAAGGCGACGACGGGUAGCCGGCCUGAGAGGGUGUCCGGCCACACUGGGACUGAGAUACGGCCCAGACUCCUACGGGAGGCAGAAGUGGGGAAUAUUGCACAAUGGGCGCAAGCCUGAUGCAGCGACGCCGCGUGGGGGAUGACGGCCUUCGGGUUGUAAACCUCUUUCAGUACCGACGAAGCGCAAGUGACGGUAGGUACAGAAGAAGCACCGGCCAACUACGUG